RNAcentral lists this ribosomal RNA (253 nucleotides) under uncultured bacterium. Its description in RNAcentral is "partial 16S ribosomal RNA". It matches the Rfam family "Bacterial small subunit ribosomal RNA", at positions 524 to 776 of the family's 1533-position model. The record is from RNAcentral.
UACAGAGGGUGCGAGCGUUAAUCGGAAUUACUGGGCGUAAAGCGUGCGUAGACGGUUAUUUAAGUCGGAUGUGAAAGCCCCGGGCUCAACCUGGGAAUUGCAUUCGAGACUGAAUAGCUAGGGUGCGGUAGAGGGAAGCGGAAUUUCCGGUGUAGCGGUGAAAUGCGUAGAUAUCGGAAGGAACAUCAGUGGCGAAAGCGGCUUCCUGGACCAGCAUCGACGUUCAGGCACGAAAGCGUGGGGAGCAAACAGG